AGUGAACGCUGGCGGUAGGCCUAACACAUGCAAGUCGAACGGCAGCACAGUAAGAGCUUGCUCUUACGGGUGGCGAGUGGCGGACGGGUGAGGCAUACAUCGGAAUCUACUUUUUCGUGGGGGAUAACGUAGGGAAACUUACGCUAAUACCGCAUACGACCUACGGGUGAAAGCAGGGGAUCUUCGGACCUUGCGCGAUUGAAUGAGCCGAUGUCGGAUUAGCUAGUUGGCGGGGUAAAGGCCCACCAAGGCGACGAUCCGUAGCUGGUCUGAGAGGAUGAUCAGCCACACUGGAACUGAGACACGGUCCAGACUCCUACGGGAGGCAGCAGUGGGGAAUAUUGGACAAUGGGCGCAAGCCUGAUCCAGCCAUACCGCGUGGGUGAAGAAGGCCUUCGGGUUGUAAAGCCCUUUUGUUGGGAAAGAAAAGCAGCAGGUUAAUACCCCGAUGUUCUGACGGUACCCAAAGAAUAAGCACCGGCUAACUUCGUG
RNAcentral lists this ribosomal RNA (492 nucleotides) under uncultured bacterium. RNAcentral's name for it is "partial 16S ribosomal RNA". It matches the Rfam family "Bacterial small subunit ribosomal RNA", at positions 29 to 507 of the family's 1533-position model. The record is from RNAcentral.